Molecule: unclassified non-coding RNA, 638 nt
Filed under: Homo sapiens (human)
Lineage: Eukaryota; Metazoa; Chordata; Mammalia; Primates; Hominidae
Description: mutS homolog 5 (ENSG00000235222.12)
Source: RNAcentral
AGUGGUGGUGCACCCCUGUAAUCCCAGCUACUCCAGAGGCUGAGACACGAGAAUCGCUUGAACCUGGGAGGCGGAGGUUGCAGUGAGCUGAGAUCGCACCACUGCACUCCAGCCUGGACAACAGAGCAAGACUCUGUCUCAGAAAAAAAAAAAAAAGAUGCUAUGGUUCACACGUCCGACUCAUGACCUGGGGGAGCUCAGUUCUCGUCUGGACGUCAUUCAGUUUUUUCUGCUGCCCCAGAAUCUGGACAUGGCUCAGAUGCUGCAUCGGCUCCUGGGUCACAUCAAGAACGUGCCUCUGAUUCUGAAACGCAUGAAGUUGUCCCACACCAAGGUCAGCGACUGGCAGGUUCUCUACAAGACUGUGUACAGUGCCCUGGGCCUGAGGGAUGCCUGCCGCUCCCUGCCGCAGUCCAUCCAGCUCUUUCGGGACAUUGCCCAAGAGUUCUCUGAUGACCUGCACCAUAUCGCCAGCCUCAUUGGGAAAGUAAAAAGCGAAGACUGAUGGGACUUCCCAGUUUCCUUACUGAGGUUGCCCGCAAGGAGCUGGAGAAUCUGGACUCCCGUAUUCCUUCAUGCAGUGUCAUCUACAUCCCUCUGAUUGGCUUCCUUCUUUCUAUUCCCCGCCUGCCUUCCAU